UUGAUUGUAAUUAUUAAUAUUUUUUUACUUUAUAAUUUUAUUAUUGUAUUACUAUUAUUUAUGUAGAAAAAAAUAAUUUAGUUGUUUUAAAUUAAAUUUUAAUUAUAUUGUAGUGUUUCUAAGCUUUGGAUAGAAUUGACUUCAGUAUUAGUGACUGGUCCACACAUCUGGAGAGUGUCGGACUAAGUCGGAGUCGUUUCUAGCGAAAUGGAUGCAGAAAUGGACUCGGCGCACUCAAAUAAGCAAAACUGGAGUUUUGCCAGAUUCGAGCGCCCAGAACUGGCUUUGGGUCACCCAGAAGUUGAGUGUAGAACUGAGCAGAACUGGAAAUCAAUUCGGAUCCAUGUUUCGGGCGCCCGGAUGUGGGUCCGAAAAGUUCACCUCGUGAGUAUCGUUGCGCUGACACGUGGUUGGUAGGAGGUGAGGUCCGCCGGAGCCGGAUACGGGCGCAGCACACCGCGGGUGGAGGAGCCGAGGGGGGUUUUUGUGCAGCCAGGAGGAUUCGGACGCCCAGAAUCAGGUUUUGGGCGCCCGAAAGUGGAGAUUUCUGCAGGAGUACUAGCUUUGCAGCAAUUGUUCCUGAGGCUUUUUGGACCGCCUCAACACCCUAUAAAUAGAUAGAGUGCGCCCCCUUGCUGCUCUUUUCCUCCCUUCUUCACAGAGAAGACCACUUUAGCAUUCCAACCCCUCCAAAUCACUCAAUUUGUAUCAAAGGUCCACAAAUUCAGCUUGAGGAGUGCUGAUUCUGCAGUUUUCCAGCGACGACCUUCGGUGUUUUGGCUCGUGUGCGACGUAGGAAGGUCAGAUUGGGGUGAAACUUGGUUUGCUGGAUUCUAGACUUCCAGAGGAAUCCAUGAAACCCAGAAUUUCAGAUUUUGGUUGAGGUUAGCUUGGUCGAUUCUAUGUUUUUCUGGACUAUUGGUGACUUUGAGCUGAAAAUCUGAUUUUUGGGUUUUUCUUGGUGCUAUCUUUGGAGGCAGGGUGUUUUUGGACCUGAGACACUUACUCCAUCCUACUCCACUAGAUUUGAGACCCUCCUCACCAAAUUUGGAUGUGAUUAGGUGAGUUUUGACAUUGGAGUUUGGUUAAUUAAGCUUAAGUGCUGAAAUUAGCAUUGUCAUUGAUGCAACUUGGUUAUCUUGGGUUCAAAUCUUGGGAGAAGGGUAGUCUUGAACCUGGAAAACUUUCUACAUCCAAUUCACUGCUGAGGGAAUCUUGCUACUGCUGAUUUGAAGGUAAUCUAGUGAAAUUAGCAUUGUAUUUGAGCUAAUUCAAGCGUAAGUGCUGAAUUAUUGGAUUUUUAUGGAUUUCGACGCUAGAUCCCUUAAGUAGUCCAGUUGCUGAUUUGGUGUGAUUUCGGCUGAGUCUCCCAGCAGUUUUGUGACCUCCUUGCUGCCAGGAAAGAGCAUUUGAGAGCCGUUGCAUUCGGCUGCUGCUGUUGUUGCUGAUCUUAAUCGUGGCAAGGGCGUCGCGAAUUAGAGCCAUUCCAGUCGAGUUGCAGAGCUAAAGGAGCACAAGCUACAGAUAAUUGUAGUUUUUGGAUCUUUACAUACAGUUGUUAUAUCUCGCCAGAGCGAGUGUUUGUAUACCUGUAUGACAUGUAUGUAUUGAACCACAGUUUACAUAUUUAGUUUAUUUUUU
Ananas comosus (pineapple) is the source of this 1641-nucleotide long non-coding RNA. RefSeq lists it as uncharacterized. The record is from RefSeq and is a predicted model, not a curated record. The transcript is spliced from 2 exons. Lineage: Eukaryota; Viridiplantae; Streptophyta; Magnoliopsida; Poales; Bromeliaceae.